AAAAAGAUAAGCUAAUUUAAGCUUUUGGGUUCAUACCCCAACUAUAAAGAAACUCUUUUCUUUUUA
This 66-nucleotide transfer RNA is filed under the name Pristolycus sp. FM14. RNAcentral describes it as "tRNA-Met". Lineage: Eukaryota; Metazoa; Arthropoda; Insecta; Coleoptera; Lampyridae. The record is from RNAcentral.